Molecule: non-coding RNA, 52 nt
Organism: Pongo abelii (Sumatran orangutan)
Lineage: Eukaryota; Metazoa; Chordata; Mammalia; Primates; Hominidae
Source: Rfam
UAUUUAGUAUAAGUAGGUCCUAUGCAAUAUUUAGGACCCACUUAUAUUAAAA